RNAcentral lists this ribosomal RNA (400 nucleotides) under phytoplankton environmental sample. Its description in RNAcentral is "partial small subunit ribosomal RNA". It matches the Rfam family "Eukaryotic small subunit ribosomal RNA", at positions 587 to 989 of the family's 1831-position model. The record is from RNAcentral.
AGCUCCAAUAGCGUAUAUUAAAGUUGUUGCAGUUAAAAAGCUCGUAGUUGGAUUUCUGGUUGGAGCGACCGGUCGGGCAUUGAUUUGUCUGCACUGGAGUCGGUUCCGUCCAUCCUCUCGGAAAGUGCGUAUGGCAUUAAGUUGUCGUGCGUAUGAUCCGGGUCUUUUACUGUGAAAAAAUUAGAGUGUUUAAAGCAGGCCUUCGCCUUGAAUACAUUAGCAUGGAAUAAUAAGAUAGGACUUGGGUCUAUUUUGUUGGUUUGCAGACCGAAGUAAUGAUUAAUAGGGAUAGUUGGGGGUAUUUAUAUUCCGAUGUCAGAGGUGAAAUUCUUAGAUUUUCGGAAGAUAAACUUAUGCGAAAGCAUUUACCAAGGAUGUUUUCAUUAAUCAAGAACGAAAG